GACGAACGCUGGCGGCGUGCCUAAUACAUGCAAGUAGAACGCAGUUUCGAACGGGUGAGUAACGCGUAUGUACCUGCCUCAUAGGGGGGGAUAACUAUUGGGAACGAUAGCUAAUACCCCAUACUGUGAGCUGGACCUGCGUUGGAUUAGCUAGUUGGUUAGGUAAAGGCCCACCAAGGCGACGAUACAUAGCCUGACUGAGAGGGUGAACGGGCAAAAUUGGACCGGGAACAGGGCCAGACCCCUACGGGAGGGAGCCGUAGGGAAUCUUCGGCAAUGGAGGGAAGUCCGACCGAGCAACGCCGCGGGAGUGAAGAAGGUUUUCGGGUUGUAAAGCUCUGUUGAUAGAGAAGCGGUAACGAAACAGAAAGGAACGGCUAACUACGUGCCAGCAGCCGCGGUAAUAC
Molecule: ribosomal RNA, 407 nt
Filed under: uncultured bacterium
Lineage: Bacteria
Description: partial 16S ribosomal RNA
Rfam family: Bacterial small subunit ribosomal RNA
Source: RNAcentral